Molecule: ribosomal RNA, 2787 nt
Filed under: Escherichia coli
Lineage: Bacteria; Pseudomonadati; Pseudomonadota; Gammaproteobacteria; Enterobacterales; Enterobacteriaceae
Description: bacterial LSU rRNA
Rfam family: Bacterial large subunit ribosomal RNA
Source: RNAcentral
AGCGUACACGGUGGAUGCCCUGGCAGUCAGAGGCGAUGAAGGACGUGCUAAUCUGCGAUAAGCGUCGGUAAGGUGAUAUGAACCGUUAUAACCGGCGAUUUCCGAAUGGGGAAACCCAGUGUGAUUCGUCACACUAUCAUUAACUGAAUCCAUAGGUUAAUGAGGCGAACCGGGGGAACUGAAACAUCUAAGUACCCCGAGGAAAAGAAAUCAACCGAGAUUCCCCCAGUAGCGGCGAGCGAACGGGGAGCAGCCCAGAGCCUGAAUCAGUGUGUGUGUUAGUGGAAGCGUCUGGAAAGGCGUGCGAUACAGGGUGACAGCCCCGUACACAAAAAUGCACAUACUGUGAGCUCGAUGAGUAGGGCGGGACACGUGGUAUCCUGUCUGAAUAUGGGGGGACCAUCCUCCAAGGCUAAAUACUCCUGACUGACCGAUAGUGAACCAGUACCGUGAGGGAAAGGCGAAAAGAACCCCGGCGAGGGGAGUGAAAAAGAACCUGAAACCGUGUACGUACAAGCAGUGGGAGCACGCUUAGGCGUGUGACUGCGUACCUUUUGUAUAAUGGGUCAGCGACUUAUAUUCUGUAGCAAGGUUAACCGAAUAGGGGAGCCGAAGGGAAACCGAGUCUUAACUGGGCGUUAAGUUGCAGGGUAUAGACCCGAAACCCGGUGAUCUAGCCAUGGGCAGGUUGAAGGUUGGGUAACACUAACUGGAGGACCGAACCGACUAAUGUUGAAAAAUUAGCGGAUGACUUGUGGCUGGGGGUGAAAGGCCAAUCAAACCGGGAGAUAGCUGGUUCUCCCCGAAAGCUAUUUAGGUAGCGCCUCGUGAAUUCAUCUCCGGGGGUAGAGCACUGUUUCGGCAAGGGGGUCAUCCCGACUUACCAACCCGAUGCAAACUGCGAAUACCGGAGAAUGUUAUCACGGGAGACACACGGCGGGUGCUAACGUCCGUCGUGAAGAGGGAAACAACCCAGACCGCCAGCUAAGGUCCCAAAGUCAUGGUUAAGUGGGAAACGAUGUGGGAAGGCCCAGACAGCCAGGAUGUUGGCUUAGAAGCAGCCAUCAUUUAAAGAAAGCGUAAUAGCUCACUGGUCGAGUCGGCCUGCGCGGAAGAUGUAACGGGGCUAAACCAUGCACCGAAGCUGCGGCAGCGACGCUGAUGCGUUGUUGGGUAGGGGAGCGUUCUGUAAGCCUGCGAAGGUGUGCUGUGAGGCAUGCUGGAGGUAUCAGAAGUGCGAAUGCUGACAUAAGUAACGAUAAAGCGGGUGAAAAGCCCGCUCGCCGGAAGACCAAGGGUUCCUGUCCAACGUUAAUCGGGGCAGGGUGAGUCGACCCCUAAGGCGAGGCCGAAAGGCGUAGUCGAUGGGAAACAGGUUAAUAUUCCUGUACUUGGUGUUACUGCGAAGGGGGGACGGAGAAGGCUAUGUUGGCCGGGCGACGGUUGUCCCGGUUUAAGCGUGUAGGCUGGUUUUCCAGGCAAAUCCGGAAAAUCAAGGCUGAGGCGUGAUGACGAGGCACUACGGUGCUGAAGCAACAAAUGCCCUGCUUCCAGGAAAAGCCUCUAAGCAUCAGGUAACAUCAAAUCGUACCCCAAACCGACACAGGUGGUCAGGUAGAGAAUACCAAGGCGCUUGAGAGAACUCGGGUGAAGGAACUAGGCAAAAUGGUGCCGUAACUUCGGGAGAAGGCACGCUGAUAUGUAGGUGAAGUCCCUCGCGGAUGGAGCUGAAAUCAGUCGAAGAUACCAGCUGGCUGCAACUGUUUAUUAAAAACACAGCACUGUGCAAACACGAAAGUGGACGUAUACGGUGUGACGCCUGCCCGGUGCCGGAAGGUUAAUUGAUGGGGUUAGCGCAAGCGAAGCUCUUGAUCGAAGCCCCGGUAAACGGCGGCCGUAACUAUAACGGUCCUAAGGUAGCGAAAUUCCUUGUCGGGUAAGUUCCGACCUGCACGAAUGGCGUAAUGAUGGCCAGGCUGUCUCCACCCGAGACUCAGUGAAAUUGAACUCGCUGUGAAGAUGCAGUGUACCCGCGGCAAGACGGAAAGACCCCGUGAACCUUUACUAUAGCUUGACACUGAACAUUGAGCCUUGAUGUGUAGGAUAGGUGGGAGGCUUUGAAGUGUGGACGCCAGUCUGCAUGGAGCCGACCUUGAAAUACCACCCUUUAAUGUUUGAUGUUCUAACGUGGACCCGUAAUCCGGGUUGCGGACAGUGUCUGGUGGGUAGUUUGACUGGGGCGGUCUCCUCCUAAAGAGUAACGGAGGAGCACGAAGGUUGGCUAAUCCUGGUCGGACAUCAGGAGGUUAGUGCAAUGGCAUAAGCCAGCUUGACUGCGAGCGUGACGGCGCGAGCAGGUGCGAAAGCAGGUCAUAGUGAUCCGGUGGUUCUGAAUGGAAGGGCCAUCGCUCAACGGAUAAAAGGUACUCCGGGGAUAACAGGCUGAUACCGCCCAAGAGUUCAUAUCGACGGCGGUGUUUGGCACCUCGAUGUCGGCUCAUCACAUCCUGGGGCUGAAGUAGGUCCCAAGGGUAUGGCUGUUCGCCAUUUAAAGUGGUACGCGAGCUGGGUUUAGAACGUCGUGAGACAGUUCGGUCCCUAUCUGCCGUGGGCGCUGGAGAACUGAGGGGGGCUGCUCCUAGUACGAGAGGACCGGAGUGGACGCAUCACUGGUGUUCGGGUUGUCAUGCCAAUGGCACUGCCCGGUAGCUAAAUGCGGAAGAGAUAAGUGCUGAAAGCAUCUAAGCACGAAACUUGCCCCGAGAUGAGUUCUCCCUGACUCCUUGA